UGUAAUGUGCCUGAUUAAAGGAUUAUUUUGAUGGAAUAAAUUAUGUUUUUACCAUUACAU
RNAcentral lists this transfer RNA (60 nucleotides) under Vaejovis smithi. RNAcentral's name for it is "tRNA-Ile". Lineage: Eukaryota; Metazoa; Arthropoda; Arachnida; Scorpiones; Vaejovidae. The record is from RNAcentral.